This is a long non-coding RNA of Etheostoma spectabile (orangethroat darter), 295 nucleotides long. RefSeq lists it as uncharacterized. The record is from RefSeq and is a predicted model, not a curated record. Lineage: Eukaryota; Metazoa; Chordata; Actinopteri; Perciformes; Percidae. The transcript is spliced from 3 exons.
AUAAAUAAUGUUACGUAUCAAAACGCUCAAUCGACAGAGAAAUGUGCACCGCCUGUGUUGAGAAACUGUGCCUUUAAACGAGCCGUCGAGACUUCUGUACUGUUGUGAUGUCACAACUAUAUUGUAUAUAGGUAGAAAGUGUUGCUACAGUGCCGUUACAGUCAUUCGCCAGUUCCAAUGACGGUGCAGAGACUCUGAGCACAGAUGUUGAAGAUCCGCAAAUGCUGACCAAUCAGAGCAGAAUGGGCUUUUUGGGAGGGGGGGCUUAAAAAGACUGGUGCUAAAAUGGAGUGUU